CUCCCCCCCCCCCCCCCCCCCCCCCACUCCGCCAGCUUCCUUUGGAAUGCACACCCCUUUCAUUCGGAGCAAGGUGGAGGCCCUGUCAGUAAGCGACCCUUCUCCCGAGGUGCAGGCCCUCUGCACUAGUCCUUGGCCGAGGAGCGGGCAGGCUGCCUCCCUCCCACCCUCUCUGUAAUCUGAGGCACGCAGCGAGGACUGCUGCUCCGGCCACUCCGGGGCACCCGCGAUCCCCACUCUUCGGCCAGCUCCCGCUGCCUCUCCUCCUGCGGCUGCUGGUCCAGCGCCCCCGCGGGAGGGUGGGCGCCCAGGUGAGGCUGGCGGCAGGUUCCGGGGGAGCCCCUCGGACAAGCCUGGCUGCUCCCUCAAAGAACCUGCACGGGUGGGAGGACACAGCCUGCGACCUGGAACGAGCCACCCCAUCCUUCAUCACUUGUCUCGCCGAAGUUGGCAUUCAACAGGUAGUUCCCGGGACUUCCACCUGAGAAGUCCAGAGGAUUCCAACACCAUCACACUUUGUGCACGGAGGAUAGCUGCCAAAUUAACGUACCUAAGACAUGAGCUCCAGGACUCAGGGGUUCCCAGUCACCCAGAAAAGAAACUUUGGAUUUUCUUUGGAACAUGCCUUUUUCUUCCUCAUCUAUUCCUCUGAGAAUCGAACCUUCCUUCGAAAUCCAGAUUCAAUUCCCAGUUCCUCCGUGGAGUGUUCCCUCUCUGACCAGAAUGGCUUUGUUCAGAUAGUUGCAAAUAUUUGAUUGGGAUGGGCUGCUGCUUCUACUUGCUACCACACCCAAAAUAUUAAAAAGGAAACUCAUUGAGAAUUGUCUUGGGUAAACAAUUUACCAAGGUUACAAUUUAAAGUAGGAAAAAAAAAACACAAACUUUCAAAAUAUGGAGUAGCAAAUACACUUGAAAAAAAACCCACAGGUCUGUGUUGCUGAAUUUGGACCAUCCGGAGCUACUGCUCAGGAGCGGAGCAGGUGGGAAAGCAGGGUUCUGAAGAUGGUGGCAUUUUAGUUUCUUCAGAACCAAGCCUCACUGGUGCUUACUAGACUGGGCAACAUCAGGCCUGACAAUGGUCUCCCUCCAGUCCUUAACGGGGUGGUCAGUCACUGCAGCCCAUCAGGUGAUAAAUGGAUGAACAGAAGUGAUAUAUCCAUACAGUGGCAUAUUAGCCUUCAAGGGAUGAAGUACUGAUGCAUGCUACAAGAUGGAUGAACCUUGAAAGCAAGGUUUUCAGUGCUAAGUGAAAGAAGCUGGACACACAGGACCAUGUGGUACAUGAUCCCAUUUAUAUGAAAUGCCGAGAAUUGGCAAAAUCUACAGAGAUAGAAAAUAGAUUAGUAGUUACCAGGAACUAGGGGGUAGGUGAAAAUGGGUAGUAAUGGCUAAUGGGUUUAUUUUGGGGGUGAUGAAAAUGUUCUGGGAUUAGAUAAUUUUGUGAUGGUUGCACAACUCUGUAAAUGUAUUAAAAGCUACUGAAUUGCACAGUUUUUUUUUAAUUGCAUACUUUACAAGGGUGAAUUUAAUGGUAUGUGCAGUAUAUCUCAGUACAGUUGUAAAAUAAAUAUUACAAAAUCAUCAGUGGUUUUUUUUUUCAGGCAAACACACAUAUAACACACAGGAUACUGUGUAAGACUGUUCUGUGUUCUUUGAAGUCUAAGUUCAAAUCUCACACCCU
Molecule: long non-coding RNA, 1681 nt
Filed under: Cervus hanglu yarkandensis (Yarkand deer)
Lineage: Eukaryota; Metazoa; Chordata; Mammalia; Artiodactyla; Cervidae
Description: lncRNA (ENSCHYG00000007979.1)
Source: RNAcentral